Molecule: long non-coding RNA, 584 nt
Filed under: Cricetulus griseus (Chinese hamster)
Lineage: Eukaryota; Metazoa; Chordata; Mammalia; Rodentia; Cricetidae
Description: lncRNA (ENSCGRG00015039369.1)
Source: RNAcentral
AGAGCGUGUGCUCAGAGUCAGUUCUCUCCUUCCACAGAGUGGUUCUGGGAAUAAGUCCAUGUGGUCAGGUCAGGCUCAAUAGCAAGUACCUUUACCCUAUGAACUACGCCACCACCUCUCCUCUGUUUAUUGGCUCAUGAUCAUCAUUAUGGGAAGCAGAUGGAGCAGCAGCUGAGAGCUUUAUAUCCUGAUCUGGAGGCAGCAGGCAGAGAGAGAGACAAGGCCUUAUGAAGCCAAGGCUGGUCUCCAACUCACCAGAUAGCCACCAAAGAUGACCUUGAACUUCUGAUUUUCCUUCUUCCAACUCUCAAAUUCUGGAUGUGAUCUCUUGAAAGGAGAGAGACAGAGGUCUCGAUCUCUUUUGGGUUGUGAAGACCAGGUCAAGUGGCAUGAAACCAUGUGUGACUGAUCCCCACUCCCUUGGUCCCCUGGAGCUGGACUUGCAGAUGUGAGCUGUUUUGCUGUUCCCUUCCCUUUAUCACAGUUGGUGAGGCCAUCUUACCUACAGCUAAGAGACCAUGAAGUAUACCUUGAGACAAGCUUGCUUGGGUCUGAAACGAGGCAGAACACAGCCUUGCUUCCAG